This 253-nucleotide ribosomal RNA is filed under the name uncultured bacterium. RNAcentral describes it as "partial 16S ribosomal RNA". It matches the Rfam family "Bacterial small subunit ribosomal RNA", at positions 524 to 776 of the family's 1533-position model. The record is from RNAcentral.
UACAGAGGGCGCAAGCGUUAAUCGGAAUUACUGGGCGUAAAGCGCACGCAGGCGGUUGGUUAAGUCAGAUGUGAAAGCCCCGGGCUCAACCUGGGAAUUGCAUUUGAAACUGGCCAACUAGAGUACGUGAGAGGGGGGUAGAAUUCCAAGUGUAGCGGUGAAAUGCGUAGAGAUUUGGAGGAAUACCAGUGGCGAAGGCGGCCCCCUGGCACGAUACUGACGCUCAGGUGCGAAAGCGUGGGGAGCAAACAGG